CCUACGGGUGGCUGCAGUGGGGAAUAUUGGACAAUGGGCGAAAGCCUGAUCCAGCCAUGCCGCGUGUGUGAAGAAGGCCUUCGGGUUGUAAAGCACUUUCAGUGGGGAAGAAAGCCUUGGGGCUAAUACCCUCGAGGAAGGACAUCACCCACAGAAGAAGCACCGGCUAACUCCGUGCCAGCAGCCGCGGUAAUACGGAGGGUGCGAGCGUUAAUCGGAAUUACUGGGCGUAAAGCGCGCGUAGGCGGUCUGAUAAGCCGGUUGUGAAAGCCCCGGGCUCAACCUGGGAACGGCAUCCGGAACUGUCAGGUGAGAGUGCAGGAGAGGAAGGGAGAAGGCCCGGUGUUGCGGUGAAAUGCGGAGAGAUCGGGAGGAAUACCAGUGGCGAAGGCGGCCUUCUGGACGGACACUGACGCUGAGGUGCGAAAGCGUGGGUAGCACACAGGAUUAGAUACCCGAGUAGUC
RNAcentral lists this ribosomal RNA (465 nucleotides) under Vreelandella stevensii. RNAcentral's name for it is "partial 16S ribosomal RNA". It matches the Rfam family "Bacterial small subunit ribosomal RNA", at positions 338 to 795 of the family's 1533-position model. The record is from RNAcentral. Lineage: Bacteria; Pseudomonadati; Pseudomonadota; Gammaproteobacteria; Oceanospirillales; Halomonadaceae.